Long non-coding RNA from Cyprinus carpio carpio, 335 nucleotides. The record is from Ensembl. NCBI's taxonomy places the organism in Eukaryota, Metazoa, Chordata, Actinopteri, Cypriniformes, Cyprinidae.
GGGUGGACAUUGAUAAAUGGUGUGCCCAGUGCCAGUUUAGCAGACUGUCCAUCAAGCAAUAGCCCAAGUACAUCCCAAUAUGUGUGGACAAGCCUCUGGAACAGUUGGGGAUGAAUUUAGUGGGGAAAGUCACCAGGACCGACAAUGUAAAUGAGUACAUUUAUUGACUAUUACACAAAAUAGCCUAUACUAUUCUGACUAAAUAUGAAGCAGUUGUGUACUGAAUUAAUUUAUUUCACAGGUUUGGGGCACCAAAAAUAAUUCUUACUGACCAAGGCACAGAGUCUGUUAACCAGGUUUGUAGUUUAUUGAAUGAAGGAGAAAAAAACAAAAAA